AAAGCUUAGGUGGAGACGAGGGGAUCCGCAAAUAUCCUUCGAUCUCGAUUUCAAAUCCAAGAUGCAUACGAGAGGGAGCGGCCGGACGACCGAACACAACAUAGGGAGUAAUUCGUCCCUAUCCUUUCACAUUUAUGCUUUUAAUUUAAUUUAGCAUUAUGCAUAUAGAAAUAGAUUUAUUUUUACGUCAGUCCCGGGACAUGCAUGCAUUAAUUUUGUUUCUAUAUUUUAUACUAACUUAUUUUCAAGUGUUUUUAAUUUGUAGGUAAAGCUUAGGUGGAGACGAGGGGAUCCGCAAAGAUCCUUCGAUCUCGAUUUCAAAUCCGAGAUGCAUACGAGAGGGAGCGGCCGGACGACCGAACACAACAUAGGGAGUAAUUCGUCCCUAUCCUUUUACAUUUAUGCAUUUAAUUUAAUUUAGCAUUAUGCAUAUAGAAAUAGAUUUAUUUUUACGUCAGUCCCGGGACAUGCAUGCAUUAAUUUUGUUUCUAUAUUUUAUACUAACUUAUUUUAAAGUGUUUUUAAUUUGUAGGUAAAGCUUAGGUGGAGACGAGGGGAUCCGCAAAUAUCCUUCGAUCUCGAUUUCAAAUCCAAGGUAAGUGAUUUUAAUAUUAUUUUUUCGUUUCCUAUAUAUAUACUAAUAUCUAUUUUAAAUCUUUUUAGAUGCAUACGAGAGGGAGCGGCCGGACGACCGAACACAACAUAGGGAGUAAUUCGUCCCUAUCCUUUUACAUUUAUGCAUUUAAUUUAAUUUAGCAUUAUGCAUAUAGAAAUAGAUUUAUUUUUACGUCAGUCCCGGGACAUGCAUGCAUUAAUUUUGUUUCUAUAUUUUAUACUAACUUAUUUUCAAGUGUUUUUAAUUUGUAGGUAAAGCUUAGGUGGAGACGAGGGGAUCCGCAAAUAUCCUUCGAUCUCGAUUUCAAAUCCAAGAUGCAUACGAGAGGGAGCGGCCGGACGACCGAACACAACAUAGGGAGUAAUUCGUCCCUAUCCUUUUACAUUUAUGCAUUUAAUUUAAUUUAGCAUUAUGCAUAUAGAAAUAGAUUUAUUUUUACGUCAGUCCCGGGACAUGCAUGCAUUAAUUUUGUUUCUAUAUUUUAUACUAACUUAUUUUCAAGUGUUUUUAAUUUGUAGGUAAAGCUUAGGUGGAGACGAGGGGAUCCGCAAAGAUCCUUCGAUCUCGAUUUCAAAUCCAAGAUGCAUACGAGAGGGAGCGGCCGGACGACCGAACACAACAUAGGGAGUAAUCCGUCCCUUUCCUUUCACAUUUAUGCUUUUAAUUUAAUUUAGCAUUAUGCAUAUAGAAAUAGAUUUAUUUUUACGUCAGUCCCGGGACAUGCAUGCAUUAAUUUUGUUUCUAUAUUUUAUACUAACUUAUUUUCAAGUGUUUUUAAUUUGUAGGUAAAGCAUAUGUGGAGACGAGGGGAUCCGCAAAGAUCCUUCGAUCUCGAUUUCAAAUCCAAGAUGCAUACCAUAGGGAGCGGCCGGACGACCGAACAAAACAUAGGGAGUAAUUCGUCCCUAUCCUUUUACAUUUACGCAUUUAGUUUAAUUUAGCAUUAUGCAAAUAGAAAUAGAUUUAUUUUUACGUCAGUCCCGGGACAUGCAUGCAUUAAUUUUGUUUCGAUAAUUUAUACUAACUUAUUUUCAAGUGUUUUUAUUUUGUAGGUAAAGCUUAUGUGGAGACUAGGGGAUCCGCAAGAUCUUCGAUCUCGAUUUCAAAUCCAAGAUGCAUACCAUAGGGAGCGGCCGGACGACCAAACAAAACAUAGGGAGUAAUUCGUCCCUAUCCUUUUACAUUUACGCAUUUAGUUUAAUUUAGCAUUAUGCAUAUAAAAAUAGAUUUAUUUUUACGUCGGUCCCGGGACAUGCAUGCAUUAAUUUUGUUUCUAUAUUUUAUACUAACUUAUUUUCAAGUGUUUUCAAUUUGUAGGUAAAGCUUAUGUGGAGACGAAGGGAUUCGCAAAGAUCCUUCGAUCUCGAUUUCAAAUCCAAGAUGCAUACGAGAGGGAGCGGCCGGACGACCGAACACAACAUAGGGAGUAAUUCGUCCCUAUCCUUUUACAUUUAUGCAUUUAAUUAAAUUUAGCAUUAUGCAUACAGAAAUAGAUUUAUUUUUACGUCGGUCCCGGGACAUGCAUGCAUUAAUUUCUGCAAAUUGUUACGUGCUAGGCACGGUCCAAUUUAUUAAAAUAAUUGAAGUAAAAAUAUUUUUUAAUAUAAUAUUAACUUUAAAAUAAAAUUAAUAAUUAAUUAACGUUUAAUUUCUUAAUUAUCAAUAAAAGUAUUUUGUCCUAAUUAUAUCAAUUUAGAUUAAUAUAAUUUAUUUUUUAAUAAAAAAAGACAAAUUAUUUUUAAAUCUAAUAUUAAAAAUUUGGGCUGGGCUGGCCCGGUAUAAUUUCAAACCGGGCCAUGCCUUGGUUUGGGUUUUCAAGCCCAAUGCAAAAUCAGGCCGGGCCUAUCGGGCUUGAAUUUUAAAACGGCCCGUGCCAGCCCAAAAAAAAUAUUACUCCCUCCCUCGCGAAAAAUGCACAAAUUUUUUGCGUGGCGGGGGAGUAAUACCAGCUUUAUAAAUUGCCACAUUUUUUUUUCAAAAAUGAUAUAACUUUAUCAAAUAAUGGAAGCAAGAUACCUUGAAAUAUGAAUCCACCAAUAUGCUGAAGCUUUUUUCUUUAAAUCCGCCGAUAUGCUGAAGCUUUUCCCAGGAAUACCUUUGUAUCGAACUGCAAUGGUGCACCAGAGAAGUCAUUUCCCAAUACUUUUGCAUAUACCUCUUGAAAGUAAGAGAUUUAAGUAAAAAAAAACACAAAUCAUGCUUAUACUGGUCUUUUAUAUAACUGUUAUUAUGAAAUUGCCCAAAGCAUUAUUAUUACGAAAUACAGUUCAUCAAAUUCUCUAUACUAAGACUACUUUGUACCAGCUCGCAAACAAUCUGUUCAUAACUCAGGGGAAGACAAAAAUGCCCAUGAGAAAAUUAUUAAGCACAACAUGACUACUAUUUUAAACUUUUUAAAUAAAAUUUGACCCAUUUGUCUUAUGGAAAUAUGUUCAACAAUUAGUGGACAAAAAUUAAUGUUCACACAUACAUACACAUGAAUACUAGAAAUCAUAUUACUCUUUUUGUACAUUUUUUUUAUUAUAAAACUCAAAAUGUAACAAAAAGUACAUAUUCAUUUAAGUAACAUGUUGCAAUACUUCAAACACACAUUCGACUGCGCAUACCUGCAACACCCGUAGGUUUAUUUGCAAUAGUUUUAUUUGUAAGAGGAAAUAAAAUAUAUUAAUUGAGAAGAUAAAUAU
Molecule: long non-coding RNA, 3300 nt
Organism: Andrographis paniculata
Lineage: Eukaryota; Viridiplantae; Streptophyta; Magnoliopsida; Lamiales; Acanthaceae
Exons: 9
Source: RefSeq, a predicted model, not a curated record